AGAGUUUGAUCCUGGCUCAGAUUGAACGCUGGCGGCAUGCCUUACACAUGCAAGUCGAACGGCAGCACGGGAGCUUGCUCCUGGUGGCGAGUGGCGAACGGGUGAGUAAUGCAUCGGAACGUGCCCUGAAGUGGGGGAUAACGCAGCGAAAGUUGCGCUAAUACCGCAUAUUCUGUGAGCAGGAAAGCAGGGGAUCGCAAGACCUUGCGCUUUAGGAGCGGCCGAUGUCGGAUUAGCUGGUUGGUGGGGUAAAGGCUCACCAAGGCGACGAUCCGUAGCGGGUCUGAGAGGAUGAUCCGCCACACUGGGACUGAGACACGGCCCAGACUCCUACGGGAGGCAGCAGUGGGGAAUUUUGGACAAUGGGCGCAAGCCUGAUCCAGCCAUGCCGCGUGAGUGAAGAAGGCCUUCGGGUUGUAAAGCUCUUUCGGCGGGGAAGAAAUCGCAUUCUCUAAUACAGGAUGUGGAUGACGGUACCCGAAUAAGAAGCACCGGCUAACUACGUGCCAGCAGCCGCGGUAAUACGUAGGGUGCGAGCGUUAAUCGGAAUUACUGGGCGUAAAGCGUGCGCAGGCGGUUUCGUAAGACAGACGUGAAAUCCCCGGGCUCAACCUGGGAACUGCGUUUGUGACUGCGAGGCUAGAGUUUGGCAGAGGGGGGUGGAAUUCCACGUGUAGCAGUGAAAUGCGUAGAGAUGUGGAGGAACACCGAUGGCGAAGCAGCCCCCUGGGCCAAUACUGACGCUCAUGCACG
This 753-nucleotide ribosomal RNA is filed under the name uncultured bacterium. Its description in RNAcentral is "bacterial SSU rRNA". It matches the Rfam family "Bacterial small subunit ribosomal RNA", at positions 8 to 755 of the family's 1533-position model. The record is from RNAcentral.